GAAACUUAGCAUAUCAAUAAGCGGAGGAAAAGAAACCAACAGGGAUUGCCCUAGUAACGGCGAGUGAAGCGGCAACAGCUCAAAUUUGAAAUCUGGCUUCGGCCCGAGUUGUAAUUUGCAGAGGAAGCUUUAGGCGCGGCACCUCCUGAGUCCCCUGGAACGGGGCGCCACAGAGGGUGAGAGCCCCGUAUAGUUGGAUGCCUAGCCUGUGUAAAGCUCCUUCGACGAGUCGAGUAGUUUGGGAAUGCUGCUCAAAAUGGGAGGUAAAUUUCUUCUAAAGCUAAAUACCGGCCAGAGACCGAUAGCGCACAAGUAGAGUGAUCGAAAGAUGAAAAGCACUUUGAAAAGAGGGUUAAAUAGCACGUGAAAUUGUUGAAAGGGAAGCGCUUGUGACCAGACUUGCGCCGGGCUGAUCAUCCGGUGUUCUCACCGGUGCACUCUGCCCGGCUCAGGCCAGCAUCGGUUCUCGCGGGGGGAUAAAGGCCCUGGGAACGUAGCUCCUCCGGGAGUGUUAUAGCCCGGGGCGCAAUGCCCUCGCGGGGACCGAGGUUCGCGCUCUGCAAGGAUGCUGGCGUAAUGGUCAUCAGCGACCCGUCUUGAAACACGGACCAAGGAGUCAAGGUUUUGCGCGAGUGUUUGGGUGUAAAACCCGCACGCGUAAUGAAAGUGAACGUAGGUGAGAGCUUCGGCGCAUCAUCGACCGAUCCUGAUGUUCUCGGAUGGAUUUGAGUAGGAGCGUUAAGCCUUGGACCCGAAAGAUGGUGAACUAUGCUUGGAUAGGGUGAAGCCAGAGGAAACUCUGGUGGAGGCUCGCAGCGGUUCUGACGUGCAAAUCGAUCGUCAAAUCUGAGCAUGGGGGGCGAAAGACUAAUCGAACCAUCUAGUAGCUGGUACCCAGCCCCC
RNAcentral lists this ribosomal RNA (903 nucleotides) under Taifanglania furcata. RNAcentral describes it as "partial large subunit ribosomal RNA". It matches the Rfam family "Eukaryotic large subunit ribosomal RNA", at positions 30 to 971 of the family's 3401-position model. Lineage: Eukaryota; Fungi; Ascomycota; Sordariomycetes; Sordariales; Chaetomiaceae. The record is from RNAcentral.